Molecule: long non-coding RNA, 1292 nt
Filed under: Nicotiana benthamiana
Lineage: Eukaryota; Viridiplantae; Streptophyta; Magnoliopsida; Solanales; Solanaceae
Description: long non-coding RNA (NBEN_LNC007812)
Source: RNAcentral
AAAAAUUCCACAAUAUCUGCUUGUCCUUUCAUUUUUAGCUUUCAAAAUUAGUUUCAGCAUUCAAAUACACCAAAAAAUACAAAACAAUGCGUAUAAAAAUAGAAAACAAAGAAAUAUUCACUGUUCAUUGGUUGUAAGCAGCUUUUAAUUGUUCCUUGGGUGUUCUUUCUUAUAGCUUGAUUUGAGAUUUUGGUUGAGUUGGUUUGGGGUUUAUUCCUGCUGGGUCAUGGUCUUUUCUGUUGGAUUUCUGAGUUUUCCGGGUUGAUAGAUUGCAUUCCUGGGUUUCUUGUUGCUGCUGGUUCCCGGAGCAUUUUGCUGCAUUAAGCUGCUACUGACUACGUUCUCCUGUUUUGUAAUUCACUCUGCCAGGUACACACACUCGAGACUGUUUCAAUGUAGCUCUCCUGAUACAAAUGAAAUGAAGUUGAAGUUUAUGCUAUAGACCUCCUGUUUGGUGUCUCUGCUACGUUUGAAUACCUUUGUGUGUGAUUUGGUUGAUUAUUUGAUGUAAUUAAAGGUAGACUGGAAAUAAGAUUGCAACUUUUGUGUGUGAUUUGGUUGAUUAUUUGACGUAGUUAAAGGUAGAGUGGAAAUAAGACUGCAAUAGAUGCUGACUGUAGUCUACAACUGAAAAUUGUUAUGAUCUAAUAAGUUUGUUUUCCAUUAAUUGUUAUGGAACGAAAUAUCAGGUUGAUAUAGUAAUUCACAUUGGUUAUAGUAUAGUCCACUUCCUAUUAGCUGUAUAUUGGUCCUGUUUAAAAUGACAUAGGGACAUGAUGAAGCUUUGAGCAUUUGUUUUGAUUCUAGCUCAGUGAUUGAAUAUGAUACAUAGAUGGAUAUCGCAUUUUAUUGAAAUAAGACUUGCUUUUGUAGUGGAACAAAUACAAAGGUCUUUAUCACAUUUUUUUCUAACUGACUGAAAAGAGAGUUUUCCGGGUUGAUAGAUUGCAUUCGUGGGUUUCUUGUUGCUGCUGGUUCACUGAGCAUUUUGCUGCUGCUGACUACGUUUCUCCUGUUUUGUAAUUCACUCUGCCGGGUACACACACUCGAGACUGUUUCAAUGUAGCUCUCCUGAUACAAAUGAAAUGAAGUUGAAGUUUAUGCUAUAGACCUCCUGUUUGGUGUCUCUGCUACGUUUGAAUACCUUUGUGUGUGAUUUGGUUGAUUAUUUGAUGUAAUUAAAGGUAGACUGGAAAUAAGAUUGCAAUAGAUGCUGACUGCAGUCUAUAGACUGAAUUUUUUUAUGAUUUAUAAGUUUGUUUUCCAUCAAUUGUUGUGGAAUUAAAUAUUAG